UACCAGUAGCCAACUUUUUACUGGUAAUUCAGAUAGGCCUAUUGCGUAAUCAUCUCUGGAUCAGGAUUGUCACUUGCUUCAUUGUAAGUAAAUGGGAAGAAAAUGUGUGCACAUUGUAAAGAGAUGCAUUAUUCUUUGGUGAGCAACACGCCACUUACUACAACGUUAUGUAUUUUUCAGAGUUAUUGUUAGCUAGGAGGAAGACAUGGAGGGUUCAACGCUGACACAGAGGAGGGCUGAGUGUCAGUUGAAGGAAAGGGAGAUCCAGACAGACUACAUGAUGGAGCUGGGAGACAGGUUGGCUCUGGUGAGACAGAUCCAGAGGGAGCAGGAGAAGGAGAUGAAGAGGAUUUGGUUUGAGACGAGGAAAAUGCCAAGCCUGAUUGAGGAGAAUGUGAGAGAUGUGACCAACCGUCCACUCACUGAGUUCAUGGCUCCCUGUAUUGACUCCCUCCCACCGCUGGCUAUCACCAAUCGGAGGCCUAUACCAACCAUGUUACAUCCCCCCUCUCCAUUGGCCAUACGCGCUCAGGAUGCACAGCGGUUCAUUGUAUUUUCAUACUUUGUCCCUGCUGAGUGCCCAGUUGCCACAGAGGCCACAGCAGAUGUAUCUACUGGUAAAAGAGAGGACUUAUUGACAGAUACACAUCUUUCCUCAAUGCUGCAUCGAUACCUGCCACACUUCUUCAACGAUGACUCCAUUCCACCACAGCAGACAGUAGAGGGAACCACUGAGCUCUCAGUUCCAGUGGCAAUAUCUAAUAUAAAGGAAGAGGACAGAUUCUAUCCUUUCUCCCUCCCACCACUGGCUCAGCGGUUCGUUGGCAAUUCAUUCAUUGUCCCGGAAACCUCCCAGCCUGCUGUUUCAGCCACAGAGUGCCAAGUUGCCAAAGAGGCCACUGCAGACACAGCCACUGUCAAGAGAGAGAACCGAUGGGCAGCCAGAAGUCUUCCUUCAGUGCUUCCUCCAUGCCUGCCACCAGUCUUUGACGAUGACUUCAUGCCUCCAGAGCAGACAGUCGAGGAUGCCUAUGAGGUCUCAGGUGCUACAGAGAACACUUCAGGCACAGCUACUGUUGCCAUUUACACUUGGGAAGAUAAAAGUCCUUCAGUUCUGCCAUGCAUCCACAACAACAAUGACCACCAACUGCCAGAGGAGACAGUUGAGGACAACACAGAGUGCUCAGUUGACACCGAGGCAAGUGCAGUUGCACCCACUGUCAAGAGAGAGGAACUGACAGGUGAUAAAAGCCCUGUCCGAGCAAUUCCUCCAAUCCUGGGAUGCAUCCAUGACAAGGACCACAAGGAGCCAGAGCAGAAAGUGAAGGGCCCUAGUGAAGAGGUGGAUCUCUGCCCUCACACUCACCAGCUGGACCCAGAUGUUAACUUAACUCUGGCAACCCACAAUGAUGAACCCAGGACCUGGACCCUGGAAGAGGCAAAGGUAGGUGUCCUAUUUCACACUACUAUUUUAUAGGGAUGGGGGUCAGUUCCAUUUCAAUUCAAAGCAUUGAAGAGAAUUGGAAUUUUAGAGUUCUUCUGAAUUGACUGGAAUUGACCCCAACCUCUUUGCUCAUAGUAUGAAACAUCACCCCUCACUAGAGUUAACAUUUGUAUUACUUUUAUUAUGGACCCAGGAAGAACAUCUAUGGGUAUUGUAAAAUAUAAUGGGGAUACAAAAAAACAAAGGACCUUUAUUACUGUCCUCCAAAUUGUGUGCCCCAUGAGGUCAUCAUUGUUUGUCGAUCACUCAAAUGUGUAUUGAAUGUGACACAUUGGAACAAUAUUACAUCUAGAGUCAAUGUCUUCCUGUCAGGAUUAUUGGAUAGGCAUUGAGAGUGAAGAGAGGAACGUCAAGGAGGAGGUGAGACAGAGGGAGGGAUUGAAGCGUGAGGUGGACUGUGCCCAUUCCAAGAGCUCCAAUGGGAUGGUUUCAGCAGAGAGAGCAGAGACCAUCCUUGGAAGAGUGGGCUUUCUGGUCAUGAACCACAUGCAGAAAAUCCCAUUUUUGAAGAUGAAGGAAAAAGAGAAAAAUAAGAAACUGCAUAAGAAGUUGAAAGAUGACGAGAAAGAGAGAAAGGAGAAGAAAAACAAGGAGGAGGAGAACAAAAAGAGGGAGAAGAAAGAGAUGAAUGAGAGAGAGAAAGAGCAGAAGAAAGUCAUGAAGGCUGAGAAAAAGAGGGAGAAGUUAGAACAGAAAAAGAGAGAGAAGGAAAGAAAAGAGAAGGAAAAGGCAGAGAAAAAGAGGUUAGAGGGGCUGAUGAAGAUACAUAAUGACAUGAUGAAAGACAGGAUUAAGAAAGAGAAGAAGUGUUCUGAGGAGCUGAAAAAGAGAGAGAAAGCUCAAGCUGAGUUCUUGGAGAUGGAGAGAAAGAUUCAAGAAAAGGAGGAGAAGAAGAGAGAAAAGAUGAGGAAAGAGGAGAGGAAGAGACUAGAGAAGAAGAAAAAGAGGGAGCCAGCUGGAGGUGGAACUGAGAGGGUGAUAGAAGAGCAGGGAAAGGAUGAAAGCUUGAAGAUGGAUGAGUAGACUGGAUAUUAGAGAGAGAGAGCAGGGCGGGAUACUGUAUUUUUGCCUGCAAUGAAAAAUGCAAUAAAUAAAAUCUAAAAAAGAUUUACUCUCUGUUUGAUUUUUGUCAAGGCAUACUGUAUAACACAGUAUAAACACACAAUGUUUACAUUUCACAAAUCUGGGGAUUUUUGCACUGUUAAAAUGUGGAAUUCCAAAUCUACCCGAUGGAGCGGAGCUAUUCUGAGAUGAGGAGGACGGAAAGGCAGGGGGAGUAGAUGGAGGGUAGAGCGGAGUUUGUUAGAGAGGAAAUUGAUAGAGAUGAAUAUGACAGAGAGGAAUAUGAUAGAGAGGAAUAUGAUAGAGUGGAAUAUGAUAGAGGGGAAAAUUAUAGAGAGGAAUAUGACAGAGAGGAAUAUGAUAGAGAGGAAUAUGAUAGAGGGGAAAAUGAUAGAGAGGAAUUUUAUAGAUGGGAAUAUGACAGAGAGGAAUAUGAUAGAGAGGAAUAUGAUAGAGGGGAAAAUGAUAGAGAGGAAUUUUAUAGAUGGGAAUAUGAUAGAGAGGAAUAUGAUAGAGAGGAAUAUGAUAGAGGGGAAAAUGAUAGAGAGGAAUUUUAUAGAUGGGAAUAUGAUAGAGAGGAAUAUGAUAGAGAGGAAUAUGAUAGAGGGGAAUACGAUGGAGAGGAAUAUGAUAUAGAAGAAUGUAAUAAGAGGAAUAUGAUAUAGAGGAAUGUAAUAAGAGGGGAAUAUGAUAGAGGGAAUAUGAAUGAGGCACAUCAUAGAGGGAAAUAUGACAAAGGGAGUAUGAAAUAGAGGAAUAUGAUAGAGGAUUACAAUAGAGAGGAAUAUGACAGAGGAAUAUGAGGGGAAUAUUAUAGAGGGGAAUAUGAUAUAGAGUCAUAUGAUAGAGGGAAUAUGAUAGAGUGGAAUAUGACAGAGGGAAUAUGAUAGAGUGAAUAUGAUAGAGAGGAAUAUGAAAGAGAGGAUUAUGAUAGAAGGGAAUAUGAUAAAGGGGAAUAUGAUAGAGGGGAAUAUGAUAGAGGGAAAACGAUAGAGGGGAAUAUGAUUAAGGGAAUAUGAUAGAGGGGAAUAUAAUCGAAUGGAAUAUGAUAGAGGGGAAUAUGAUAGAGGGUAAUAUGAUAUAUAAUAAAUAUGAUAUAUAAUAAAUAUGAUAGAGGGGAAUAUGAUAUAUAAUAAAUAUGAUAUAUAAUAAAUAUGAUAUAUAAUAAAUAUGAUAGAGGGGAAUAUGAUAUAUAAUAAAUAUGAUAUAUAAUAGAUCUGAUAGAGGGGAAUAUGAUAGAGGGUAAUAUGAUAUAUAAUAAAUAUGAUAUAUAAUAGAUCUGAUAGAGGGGAAUAUGAUAUUUAAGGAAUAUGAUAGACAGGAAUAUGAUAGAGAGGGAAAUGAUAGAGGGAAUAUGAUAGAGAGGAAUAUGAAUGAGAGGAAUAUGAUCAAGGGGAAUAUGAUAGAGGGAAUAUGAUAGAGAGGAAUAUGAUAUAGGUGAAUAUGAUAGAGAGGAAUAUGAAUGAGAGAAAUAUGAUAUAGGGGAAUAUGAUAGAGGGGAAUAUGAUGGAGGGAAAAUGAUAGAGAGGAUUAUGAUAGGGGGGAAUAUGAUAGAGGGAAAAUGAUAGAGGGGAAUAUGUGUCACUCCUGCUCACGUCUGUCGUUACCUUCCCCAUAUCUGUAGGGUUCCCCUCUCUGUUCCCUGUUUCUGCAUUGAAAGUCAUCUGUCCUUGUUUACCAGUGUGCUGAAGCUGUUCCUGUCUUGUUCUAUGUCUGUUCCCCAUUUAAAUGUGUGUUAUUAGGUGUGUUCGUGCUCUGGACCUGGUACCCUGUGUUUUGGGUUGGUCCAUAUUUUUCCGCGCCCUGUGUUGUGGGCAUUACUUUUGGUCCCAAAUUAAAGUGCACUUCUUCCUGUGGAACUCUCUGCUCUCUGCGCCUGAUUCUUCCUCACACACCUAGUCCCUCAUGACAGAGAGGAAUAUGAUAGAGGGGAUUAUGAUGUAUAGUAAAAAUGAUAGAGGGUAAUAUGAAGGAAGGAAUUUAAUAGAGCAGUAAAUCAAAGAGAGGAAUAUGAUAGAGGGGGAAAUGAUAGAGAGGAAUGUGAUCGAGUUUAAUAUGAUAUUUAAUGAACAUGAUAGAGGCAGGGGCUGAGUCACUUGGUCACCCUAUUACUGGGUCACUGGGUCACCCUACUGAGUCACCCUAUUACAGGGGCUGAGUCACUGGCUUACUGGGGCUCUUUCAUACCGUCCCUGGGAGGGGUGCGUCACCUGAGUGGGUUGAGUCACUGAUGUGAUCUUCCUGUCUGGGUUGGCCGUGGCGGAGAUUUUUGUGGGCUAUACUCGGCCUUGUCUCAGGAUGGUAAGUUGGUGGUUGAAGAUAUGGGGGGGGCUGUGCUUUGGCAAAGUGGGUGGGGUUAUAUCCCUCCUGUUUGGCCCUGUCCGGGGGUGUCCUCGGAUGGGGCCACAGUCUCUCCUGACACCUCCUGUCUCAGCCUCCAGUAUUUAUGCUGCAGUAGUUUAUGUGUCGGGGAGCUAGGGUCAGUUUGUUAUAUCUGGAGUACUUCUCCUGUCCUAUUCGGUGUCCUGUGUGAAUUUAAGUCUGCUCUCUCUAAUUCUCUCUUUCUCUCUUUCUUUCUCUCUCUCGGAGGACCUGAGCCCUAGGACCAUGCCUCAAGACUACCUGACAUGAUGACGCCUUGCUGUCCCCAGUCCACCUGGCUGUGCUGCUGCUCCAGUUUCAACUGUUCUGCCUUAUUAUUAUUGGACCAUGCUGGUCAUUUAUGAACAUUUGAACAUCUUGGCCAUGUUCUGUUAUAAUCUCCACCCGGCACAGCCAGAAGAGGACUGGCCACCCCACAUAGCCUGGUUCCUCUCUAGGUUUCUUCCUAGGUUUUGGCCUUUCUAGGGAGUUUUUCCUAGCCACCGUGCUUCUACACCUGCUUCUACACCUGCAUUGCUUGCUGUUUGGGGUUUUAGGCUGGGUUUCUGUACAGCACUUUGAGAUAUCAGCUGAUGUACGAAGGGCUAUAUAAAUACAUUUGAUUUGACUUGAUUUGAUUAUGAUCGAGGGAAAAUGUUGGAGAGGAAUAUGAUAGAGAGGAAUUUGAUAGAGGGGAAUAUGUGUCACUCCUGCUACCUAUCUUCCCCCCCGUCUGUCGAGGGCGCCAAGCUCCCCAGCAUUGAUCGCUUCUGUCAUCAUCAUUACGCACACCUGCCUUCCCCCAUCUUGCGGGUCAGCAAUUAUUGUUCUCACCUGGACUCAAUCACCUCUGUCGUUACCUUCCACACUUCUGUAUCUGAUGGAUUCUCCUCUCUGUUCCCUGUUUCUGCAUUGAAAGUCAUCUGUCCUUGUUUACCAGUGUGCUGAAGCUGUUCCUGUCUUGUUCUAUGUCUGUUCACAAUUAAAUAUUUGACUCCCCGUA
Long non-coding RNA from Oncorhynchus kisutch (coho salmon), 5930 nucleotides. The record is from Ensembl. NCBI's taxonomy places the organism in Eukaryota, Metazoa, Chordata, Actinopteri, Salmoniformes, Salmonidae.